GAGGAAGGCUGUAAAAAUUUGUUGUCAGUGGUCAGCUCCCAGUCCUGUAGUCUGAGAGAACUGGACCUGAGUACCAACAGCCUGAAGGCUUCAGCAGUAAAGCUUCUGUCUGCUGCAGUGGAGAGUCCACAUGCCAGACUGAAUAUUCUGAGACCUAACAUCUGUGAACUCUCAGAGGAAAACUGUGAAGCUCUGUCCUCAGUUCUCAGCUCACAGUCCUCUAGUCUGACAGAGCUGGACCUGAGUAUCAGAAAGCUGCAGGAUUCAGGAGUGAAGCUUCUGUCUGCUGGACUACAAAGUUUAAA
Molecule: long non-coding RNA, 305 nt
Organism: Oreochromis niloticus (Nile tilapia)
Lineage: Eukaryota; Metazoa; Chordata; Actinopteri; Cichliformes; Cichlidae
Exons: 2
Source: RefSeq, a predicted model, not a curated record